This is a long non-coding RNA of Esox lucius (northern pike), 1684 nucleotides long. The record is from Ensembl. Lineage: Eukaryota; Metazoa; Chordata; Actinopteri; Esociformes; Esocidae.
UGUUGGGUUACCUGCCACCAAAAGAAGGAGAGGACUUGAGGAAGCAAGGUCGUGUUAAUGGAGAUUCACCUGCGCGUGGACACAUUCAAAUCUCUCAACAUUGCAGGCUCAACCACAGGAAGGGCCGGGAGGAUCAACUGUGGCAGCAAGACAGGUCAGAAAAAGAAAAAAACAUCAGUCUUCCUACAGCUCUCUGUCUAACAUACUGAAACAACUGUAGUGUUCAACAGUGGAGAUGGAUCUUAUGGUGGAUCUGAAGUCCUUUGGGGAUCCCAUCAAGCAGUUCAGUGACUACGUGUCGGGGACAGUGGCCAAACCGGAUAACAAACGAGAAGCCAAAAAGAGUACAGGAACCCGAAGGAAGAGUAUAGUCAUUAGCACGGGGGCCCGACGAAAGAGCGUAGUUUUGAGCACAGGGGCCCCCAAGAAGAGCAUAGUUGCCAGCACGGGGGCCCGACGGAAGAGCGUAGUUUUAAGCACAGGGGCCCCAAAGAAGAGCACAGUUGCCAGCACGGGGGCCCGACGAAAGAGCAUUGUUGGAGUCCGAAGACACAGUAUAGCCAGAAGAAAGAGUGCUCCUUGCGCUAAAACUUGUGCUAACCAGAGAACUGUACCAGACUCCUGGCUUAGAGUAUACCAGGCUGACAUUCAAAGAGAACGGAAACUGAGAGAGAAGAAGAUUGCAGAGAGAUCCGUCAGAAGGAAGAGCCAGCAUUUCAGGAGCCAGCAUUGCCUUCCUAAGAGUAAGCCUAACCCAAAUGCCAAGAGGAACCAGAAAUCGACAAAGGAUGAUUCAUUGUUUGGUGCUUUCCAGGGGCUUAGUCUCAACGUGACAGGAGGCACCCAGAGCUCAUUGACCUCAGGCGGGGACCAGUGUAAAGUCAUGUGAGAGACUCAUCACCUGUACUUGAUUACCAGGCUUUGCUCACGUGCAUGAAAGCUUGGCAGAGGCUAGACUGUCACCUAACACUUUAAUCGCGUCCAUGAGCCGGUUCUUUUGGUCGAACCUACAUAUUUUGGCAGUAGCAAUUGAACCUGCGGAACAAGGUUAACUGCACUUGGCCUGAAAAAAUUGAAGAUGAACUACAAAAAACACAACCUAAAUGUGUGAUGUGCUGAUAGGAAAUGACAAUGAAGCCAAAGUCCUAAAGCUUGAUUCAAGAUUAAGUCUGAGGGAAUGUGAAUAUACAUUUCUAUCGCUUGAUCGAUUCUUUAUGCAGUAAGAGAACACUCAUUAGUGCUGAUAAUAGUUCUGCUUGUCAUGAGCUUGUGUUGGUAUUUUCUGUUCCAGAAUAAAUUACGGCAGGGGUAUUCAGAUCUGGACCUCAAAUCCACUUUCACUCUAAUUUCUUUAUUGUAACACUAAUCAGGGACUUAUGUAGACCUUAGACACAAGAUUGGUGCACUUAGUGAUCAGGUAGAACCGUGUAGGGUAAGACUUGAAUGCCCCUGAUUUACAGUGUCAAGGCCCCGGACAUGAAUACUAUUGUUGUAUCCUAUAUGUGCAGACGUGAUAACGUAAUUGAAUUUGAUUUACAUUUUCAUCAACUUUAAGUAAAUGUACGUGUGUGUGUGUGUGUGUGUGUGUAUUGUUUUGCACAAUUUUAAAUGUAUAUUUGUCUUUUCCAAAACACAUUUAAAUGAAAUGUUGCACAAAACUAGUAGUCAUUUUGUCUCACAGAAC